GAAGACUUCAUGUGCUUGGAAUUGACAUCCCUUGAACUCACUGGUUUGAAGCCUGUUGGUUAUCUUCAAUCUGUCUACCAUUAUGGUUUUGCCAGGGUGUGGCCACUGUGCAUGCUACAACUUUUUGGAGCCACAGAUGAUGAAACAGCCCCUGAGAGGAAAUGACCUGGGCACAAACCGAAUCCUCUAAACUCCACCUUUAGCAUUCUCCUGGAUUCAGCAUCUAGAAGUUUCUAAGGAUUCAAAUGCUUUAGGGGUAAAGACCCAGGAUCUAGAUGAAGGAAUGACAUUUUUCAUUGUAACCAAAUAGUCAAACACUGUGUCAAAGCAACCAGAUACUGUGGCCAGAGAAACAGCAUGGUUGGUUUCCUUCUAUAGAUUCGGCCCCUUUUUCUGGAAUAUCUCCAAUCUUUGACUUCCUGAUUAUAAAAUUCCUGGAUGAAAAAGUCCCCUCCACUGUAUUGGGUUUUCUGACUGUUGCCAAGAAAAUGCUCACCUUUGUUUUUUGG
Long non-coding RNA from Monodelphis domestica (gray short-tailed opossum), 509 nucleotides. RefSeq lists it as uncharacterized. The record is from RefSeq and is a predicted model, not a curated record. NCBI's taxonomy places the organism in Eukaryota, Metazoa, Chordata, Mammalia, Didelphimorphia, Didelphidae.